RNAcentral lists this ribosomal RNA (1424 nucleotides) under Prolixibacter sp. RNAcentral's name for it is "bacterial SSU rRNA". It matches the Rfam family "Bacterial small subunit ribosomal RNA". The record is from RNAcentral. Lineage: Bacteria; Pseudomonadati; Bacteroidota; Bacteroidia; Marinilabiliales; Prolixibacteraceae.
GGGCUUGGGGCAGCUUACCAUGCAGUCGACGGUAACAGGUCCUUCGGGACGCUGACGAGUGGCGCACGGGUGAGUAACGCGUAUGCAACCUGCCCUGUACAGGGGGAUAGCCCGGAGAAAUCCGGAUUAAUACCCCAUGGUUUCCAACCUUCGCAUGUUGGUUGGAAUAAAGUUUCGGCGGUACAGGAUGGGCAUGCGUGGCAUUAGCUAGUUGGUAAGGUAACGGCUUACCAAGGCGACGAUGCCUAGGGGUUCUGAGAGGAUGAUCCCCCACACUGGGACUGAGACACGGCCCAGACUCCUACGGGAGGCAGCAGUGAGGAAUAUUGGUCAAUGGGCGAGAGCCUGAACCAGCCAUCCCGCGUGCAGGAUGACGGCCCUACGGGUUGUAAACUGCUUUUAUGUACCAAGAAUGUGUUCUACGUGUAGGAUUUUGACGGUAGUACAUGAAUAAGCAUCGGCUAACUCCGUGCCAGCAGCCGCGGUAAUACGGAGGAUGCAAGCGUUAUCCGGAUUCAUUGGGUUUAAAGGGUGCGUAGGCGGCUAUAUAAGUCAGUGGUGAAAUGCUGCAGCUCAACUGUAGAACUGCCAUUGAAACUGUAUAGCUUGAGUGCGCSUGAGGUAGGCGGAAUGAGUAGUGUAGCGGUGAAAUGCUUASAUAUUACUCAGAACACCGAUUGYGAAGGCAGCUUACUAAAGCGUAACUGACGCUGAUGCACGAAAGCGUGGGGAGCGAACAGGAUUAGAUACSCUGGUAGUCCACGCCGUAAACGAUGAUAACUCGCUGUUGGCGAUACACAGUCAGCGGCUAAGCGAAAGCAUUAAGUUAUCCACCUGGGGAGUACGAUCGCAAGGUUGAAACUCAAAGGAAUUGACGGGGGCCCGCACAAGCGGARGAACAUGUGGUUUAAUUCGAUGAUACGCGAGGAACCUUACCUGGGCUUAAAUGUAGAAUGACCGUUGCCGAAAGGUGACUUCUCUUCGGAGCAUUUUACAAGGUGCUGCAUGGUUGUCGUCAGCUCGUGCCGUGAGGUGUCGGGUUAAGUCCCAUAACGAGCGCAACCCUUAUCGUCAGUUGCUAGCAGGUAAUGCUGAGGACUCUGGCGAGACUGCCACCGUAAGGUGAGAGGAAGGUGGGGAUGACGUCAAAUCAGCACGGCCCUUAUGUCCAGGGCUACACACGUGUUACAAUGGUCGGUACAAAGGGCAGCUACCUGGCAACAGGAUGCUAAUCCCAAAAGCCGGUCUCAGUUCGGAUUGGAGUCUGCAACCCGACUCCAUGAAGCUGGAUUCGCUAGUAAUCGCGCAUCAGCCAUGGCGCGGUGAAUACGUUCCCGGGCCUUGUACACACCGCCCGUCAAACCAUGGAAGUUGGGGGUACCUGAAGUCUGCAACCGCAAGGAGCGGCCUAGUAGCCAGUGGAC